AAGAGCCUAGGCAGAACUGAACAGGGAUAGGUAGGUGCAUUGUAAAAUAUGGUUUCGAGAGACUGUGAGACCAUCGUGAGACUGUGUGUUUCCUCUCAACAAAACUGAGAGUUGUGAACGUGUGGAUCCUGGGGGGAGAAGGGGACAGGGCUUGGCAGUGCGGGGGAGGGGGCGCGGAAUCCAGGAAGUUGGCGAGAAUUCUUCUUUUUUCAUUCUUCGUUGUAAAUUGCUGCUUAACACUUCUGAAUUUUAAAUUGCUACUGAGAAGGUCCAUAAACCGUUCUCGUCCAAUUUAGUCACUUUUAUUACAUUCCUCUUUGCCUCCCCCAAUCACUGCAGCGGCUCCCAGUUUCAGCGUGGCUGCAUUUCGGACAGGCUGAAAGUAGAAAACUCUGGAAUGGAGAGAUUGAUGACUGGAGCAGGAUCCAGGGGCUUUAAAUUUUAACCUGAGUUCGAUCGAAUGCAACUUACCAAAAGAGAUUGCUCGGCGUCCACGGGCCACUCAACUCCCUCCAGGGCUUCGAAUGCUUUGCUUUUGGUUCUUUCUACAAGGGUGUCCGUGUGGAUUUCCUUGGACAAUAACUAACCCUCCAGAGAACUGCUUUUCCCGAAGCCCCGCAGCCACGUUGGAAGGGCGCGAUGGCGCGGGCCGCUGGGACAGAGCAUUAAUUCAGACAGAAAACCAGGCUGCCUGCCCCCUCCAGUUUGCCGUUUUCCCAUCGCGUGGCGUUUGUUGUUCGGAACAAUACCUUGGGAAAGAGCACGGUUUGAAAGCCACCCCCCACGGGCCCCGGACCCCGCGCGCUGAGCUUCCUCGGUGCGUCCCAGCUGGUCUGGAGAGCCAGACAGGAUAGGGGGUGCGGAGUGAAGAGGCGCACCCUGAACUGAGGAGACACCCAAGAGCUGGAGAAGGCCCACAAUGCCCCAAGUAGACAGGCAGGUUCUUACAAGUUCUUGUUUUCUUCCUGUCCCCCCCCCCUUAAUUAAACUUUAUUUAUUUGU
Molecule: long non-coding RNA, 1002 nt
Organism: Galeopterus variegatus (Sunda flying lemur)
Lineage: Eukaryota; Metazoa; Chordata; Mammalia; Dermoptera; Cynocephalidae
Exons: 3
Source: RefSeq, a predicted model, not a curated record